This 117-nucleotide non-coding RNA is filed under the name Coprobacillus sp. RNAcentral's name for it is "FMN sequence". It matches the Rfam family "FMN riboswitch aptamer (RFN element)". Rfam says of the family: The RFN element is a highly conserved domain that is found frequently in the 5'-untranslated regions of prokaryotic mRNAs that encode for flavin mononucleotide (FMN) biosynthesis and transport proteins. This element is a metabolite-dependent riboswitch that directly binds FMN in the absence of proteins. Lineage: Bacteria; Bacillati; Bacillota; Erysipelotrichia; Erysipelotrichales; Coprobacillaceae. The record is from RNAcentral.
AUAAUACUUCAGGGCAGAGCGAAAUUCUCUACUGGCGGUAAACUCCGGGAGCCAAAGAUGGCCGAACUGGUGAAAUUCCAGUAGCAACAGUUAUAGUCUGGAUGAAAGAAGUGUUUU